Molecule: ribosomal RNA, 497 nt
Filed under: uncultured bacterium
Lineage: Bacteria
Description: partial 16S ribosomal RNA
Rfam family: Bacterial small subunit ribosomal RNA
Source: RNAcentral
GAUGAACGCUGGCGGCGUGCCUAAUACAUGCAAGUCGAGCGAACAGACGAGGAGCUUGCUCCUCUGACGUUAGCGGCGGACGGGUGAGUAACACGUGGAUAACCUACCUAUAAGACUGGGAUAACUUCGGGAAACCGGAGCUAAUACCGGAUAACAUGUUGAACCGCAUGGUUCAACAGUGAAAGACGGUCUUGCUGUCACUUCUAGAUGGAUCCGCGCCGCAUUAGCUGGUUGGUAAGGUAACGGCUUACCAAGGCAACGAUGCGUAGCCGACCUGAGAGGGUGAUCGGCCACACUGGAACUGAGACACGGUCCAGGCUCCUACGGGAGGCAGCAGUAGGGUAUCUUCCGCAAUGGGCGGGAGCCUGACGGAGCGGCGCCGCGUGAGUGAAGAAGGUCUUCGGAUCGUAAAACUCUGUUAUUAGGGAAGAACAAAUGUGUAAGUAACUAUGCACGUCUUGACGGUACCUAAUCAGAAAGCCACGGCUAACUACGUG